Herpailurus yagouaroundi (jaguarundi) is the source of this 2277-nucleotide long non-coding RNA. RefSeq lists it as uncharacterized. NCBI's taxonomy places the organism in Eukaryota, Metazoa, Chordata, Mammalia, Carnivora, Felidae. The record is from RefSeq and is a predicted model, not a curated record. The transcript has 3 exons.
AAGGGAGGAACUUCAAGAAGAAGAAUGAAGUGGCCAAGACAUGCUAUGGAGAACUUAAAUAAGAUAAAGCCUCAGAGUUGUCCCUGGGUCUUGUGACGUGGAAGACUUUGUGAUGCUUACAAGAACUGCUAGUGGCAUGGGUGAGGCCUCAUAGGAGUGUGCUGAGAAUGAAGGACAAGUUACAAGGGAAGACAACCAAAGAUGACAUCUUCCUGAUGCUUGGUCCUUGAAGGAAUGAGAGAGGAAAGGAAAUAGACACAGGAUAAAGGGCAAGUGCUUGAAAAUGGGAGGCAUUGGAACACUUUGAGUAAUGAAUGAAAAGAAGCUAGUAGAGAAGGAGGAGUUGAAAAUGAAGCAGAGAAAGGCUAAAUUAUGGAGCUAUGUCCAUUAAGGUCAGGAGAGCGGGGGUCCAUUGAUAAGUCUUGAGUGAGCUUUAAACAAGGAGAACGUGGUUUUUCUUCAAAGCGAAAUGGAGAGAGGAGGUUAAAGAUCUCUGAAUUUUGGAUGAGAAUGCAUGGCUGUGUGAUUUGACCUGAAUUAGCCGGCAAAAAGAAAUCUUCAGAUUUUAAACUACUAAGUGCAACAAAAUAAUGACAUCUUUUGCAAACAUUACAAGAUAAUAGGAGGUGGUCUGGUCAUUUAUGAAACAAUGAGAUAUAUGGAAAUGUUGUGUUCUGAAUUGCCCGCGUGAGACGGCCGUGUCCCAGCAAACGGCUGACCACUCUAGUUCCGCAGCAUGAUAACUUGUGGAUAACUUUUCUCCAGUCGGCUUUUUCAAGGUCAAGAUUGAGGGUGAUCCUGAGAAGAGAGCCGUGGCCACCGCCUACACCCCGUUCCCAGCCAACUGUCUAAAGAUGUGUGCUGAUGUUCACAUGUUAGAGGACGAGCAGAAAUUAGGCAGGGACAAGUGCAAAUGUACCUCUGAGAGUGACAGGCUACUUCACCGUCUACCUACUCCGGCCCAGAAGAUGGCAAAUCUGUGGCAUCAUCUCCAUAAAGGAAGGGGCGUCUGUUAUUGUAGACGCCAAUUAGUGAGGCGAAAAAAGAAUUGCUAGUUUGAAAGCACUUUGUCACUUCGAAAGUCAAGCUCAGCAAACAGGGGCACAUACAAUGCAAUUUUGAAAUACUGCAUAACUGUCAUAUUCUGGCAAGUUUGGCAAUAUUUCCAUUUAUGUGAAAGUGUGUGAUGCUAAUUUUUACUGUACUUAUAUCUAGGUGCUUCUGUUGAUAAUUGGCCAGAAGUUAAAAGGCUCUAUGUAGUUAAGCCAAAAUUCCAUCCACACAAAUGAAAUAAAGGAUAUUUACUUCGGCUCCUAUUUUAUCAUGUGAGGCAGCUAUGGAUUCCAGCUAGACACAGUGUAUAUUUUCCCCUAGACUUGAUGUUCUUUAACGUUAACACGGCAACAGAUCACAGGAUUUAUUUUCCCCUGUAGAAUCUACUGCAAGCUGCAACUACCUUGUUUUCCUGAAUUCCACUUACAGCAGUACUUUGUCUUAGGAAAUUGAGUUAGAAUUGAGUGUGGUUGUGAAACAUAUAAAUAGUAUGUCUUGAUGAACUACGGGGCUUGGCAAAAGUGGUUUCCAUCUAGGGCGGAUACAAGUCAAGAUGGGAAGAUGAUCUUUUAUACCUAAUUGAUAAAAGAUUUCUCUGUGCACCCUGCAGAUCAUUGACUCUCAUAAGCGAAAGUGGGAGCUUAUUAGGCAUUGGCAAACAGUAGUACUUUGGCCUAGAAAAAGUAAUUAUGGAGAAGCUUUAUCCGUAGGGCAAUGGAGCUCACAGAGAAUUUAGGAACAAAACAGUUUGUCACGUAGUUUCUUUCCUUUGUAGAAAUCCAUUCCUUGUCCAGUCAAUUUUACUACGUACUACCUUACCAUGUUGCUACAUUUUUGGGGUGUGUUUAAAGAUCGACACCCGGAGUGGCAUAAAGCUAACAGGAGCCCACAUAAUUCAAGCAUUGAUUUUAAUUGUCCUGUGCUUUUGCAAUGCCAAUUUAGAUUUCAUUUUGAAAGCUUGAAUUUUUAAUGAGUUAUUAUUACUUUGUAUUAGUCCAUGGCUAGAGUCUUAGAAGUUUUGAAGGCAUUGAUAGGUUUCAUUUUUUGCAGUUUUCAAGCAGAUUACAGAGAAAUAAAUGUUCGGUAUGGAGUCUCCCAUCCAAUGGCAUCAAAAACUCCACAAAAAGCCCCUGUGAAGUUGAGUUUUAUUUUUAACUCGGUGGAAAUUCACUACUAAUUCAUAAUAGAUGGCUUAUCCAUUACAAUAAAUGCACGGGCUCAUUA